AUCUUUAGAAACUACUGAAGAAGUAUGGGGAGUUUAAGCCACCACAGGAGGAGGAGAACUUUGACAUUCAUGUUCUUGAGAUGGGUUUUGGUGAAGUGGGUAAAGAGCCCAUUGAUAAUGUUCAUUUCUACAGCAAGAAUGAGCCAAACAGAGCCUUCAAGAUGCAGAAGUACCAGGUGUCCAAUCUCAAGCCAAAGAAGUUU
Long non-coding RNA from Cyprinus carpio (common carp), 203 nucleotides. RefSeq lists it as uncharacterized. Lineage: Eukaryota; Metazoa; Chordata; Actinopteri; Cypriniformes; Cyprinidae. The record is from RefSeq and is a predicted model, not a curated record. The transcript is spliced from 3 exons.